Molecule: transfer RNA, 73 nt
Filed under: Hazenia capsulata
Lineage: Eukaryota; Viridiplantae; Chlorophyta; Ulvophyceae; Ulotrichales; Hazeniaceae
Description: tRNA-Glu
Rfam family: tRNA
About the family: Transfer RNA (tRNA) molecules are approximately 80 nucleotides in length. Their secondary structure includes four short double-helical elements and three loops (D, anti-codon, and T loops). Further hydrogen bonds mediate the characteristic L-shaped molecular structure. tRNAs have two regions of fundamental functional importance: the anti-codon, which is responsible for specific mRNA codon recognition, and the 3' end, to which the tRNAs corresponding amino acid is attached (by aminoacyl-tRNA synthetases). tRNAs cope with the degeneracy of the genetic code in two manners: having more than one tRNA (with a specific anti-codon) for a particular amino acid; and 'wobble' base-pairing, i.e. permitting non-standard base-pairing at the 3rd anti-codon position.
Source: RNAcentral
GCCCCCAUAGUCUAGAGGCCUAGGACGCUUUCCUUUCACGAAAGAAACAGGGAUUCGAAUUCCCUUGGGGGUA